Molecule: unclassified non-coding RNA, 429 nt
Filed under: Hevea brasiliensis (rubber tree)
Lineage: Eukaryota; Viridiplantae; Streptophyta; Magnoliopsida; Malpighiales; Euphorbiaceae
Source: RNAcentral
AUAUAUAUAUAUAUGUAUACUUUAUGGGCACCUGGGUGCUUUGGUUUAAUUAAAAAUCUGAGAAACUCGUGUGUGGGGAAAGCCUGUACAGUGAACUCGUGUACGUAGUGAGCAAAAUAGCAAAUGUAAGUGAAACUACCUUGAAGUGGUAGUUGCUUUUGGUUCAUUUCUCGUCCUCAUCCUCCCAGAGAGAAACAUGGGUGUUGCCUCUUGUUUUUGGCUAAUAAACUAGUGAUAAUGUAAUGACGCUGGUUUAAGAGAUGGCUGAAGACCUAAGACAUUCAUUUGUUAGUUCCAAACGACCUUUAUGUCGUGAAACUGUGAAAGUGACGCACAUGUUAUAUGAGCCUGACGUGUUUAUUGGAGGAUAGCUGUAUGUGAGCAGAAUUUUGGUCAAAUGGAUGGGGUCCGACAAUCAAAUAUAGUAAC